GUCUACGGCCAAACCCCCCUGAACACACCUGAUCUCAUCUGAUCUCAGAAGCUAAGCAGGGCCAGGCCUGGUUAGUACUUGGAUGGGAGAACAGUGGGAAGAAUAUGGGUGUAGAAC
Molecule: ribosomal RNA, 117 nt
Filed under: Castor canadensis (American beaver)
Lineage: Eukaryota; Metazoa; Chordata; Mammalia; Rodentia; Castoridae
Source: RNAcentral